This is a non-coding RNA of Meleagris gallopavo (turkey), 2809 nucleotides long. The record is from RefSeq and is a predicted model, not a curated record. NCBI's taxonomy places the organism in Eukaryota, Metazoa, Chordata, Aves, Galliformes, Phasianidae.
UUUGAAAUACAAACCCAGUCAGUGCGCAGAAUGGUAUACUCCUUUCUGUCACUCCAUCUGGAAUUUAUUAUUUUAAACAGGAUCGUGGAGUGUUGGCAUUCUGUGAUCUACGAAGUUGCUACUGCAAAAAUGUCUCACAUCUUGAGAUGUCUUAGGAACUGUACAUGAGCUGGAAAUGCUGCUUAAAAUGAGAAAAUACAACUAACACAAAGUAUUAGUGCAUUAUACUAUUUAAGUAUUCCAACAAAAGGAAAUGUCUGGAUAAUGUUUCUGGUGUUUUUAUGUUCUUUGUCAGUUUUCAUGCUAAUAAGAUAAUGGAUUUAAGCUGUUUUGCUGCUAAUGGAUUGUUCAGAUGUUCAUUUCCUGUUGUGUGUGGGUUAGGUCAUUUCAAAGUAAGUGUAAUAAAAGUCACAUACACAAUAAAUUAGAUGAGUUGCAAAUUACUAGAAGGUGGAAAUAUCAAUCAGUGAAGGACUGCUCUAUUCACAACUGGUUUCUAGUACAUAGAUAGUAGGUACUAAAAGAAAAUAGACACUGGGCCAGAUACAGUUUUGCUGUGACUUGAUCUGGAAUUUCUGAUAUAUCAGCAAAUCCCUAAAUCCUGGUAAAAUAUGCUCAGCUCUGAAAGACCCUUACAGAAUAAACUUUGAAUGUUUUAUUAUAUGGAUAAUAUUUGUCUGCUUAACCUGUUCUGACCUGGCUUUGAAUACUCGUGGAGUAACCGACAUGCAUUUUCCAACAGGGGAGCCAGUGUUGACAAGACUAAGUAUUGGAUUCAGAGGAUAAUACUCAGGAUAAUACUUUAAUAAGCUAGCUUUAGAUUACAUUUGUUUUGGGUGAGUUUUGCAUGGUGCAAAUGGUGAGUAUGAACUUUAGUUACAGAAUAUAUAUAGACUGUGAUAUGCCAUAUUAGAAUUGCUAGCAAAUAGUAACCAGUGCUUGCAAUAAUACAUUUACUGAGUUAUCAUCUGUAAAAUAAGAAAUUAAGCCAAUACAUAGUCAUAAGCAGAUAGUUUUGAGAUGUAUAUGUUUUCGAACUUUGUAAAUAAUUUUACUGACUUUGUUUACACCUAAAUUGCUGUCUUGAGAGUAAGAAUUUUAAAAUGUUUAAGAGUUUACAAAGAUCUGAACUUUUUAAUAAAUACUGUUUCUCAAGUGCUCCAUCAUUUCACACAUCUUUGUUUUCUAGCUAUCUUCUUGAUCUCUCAUUUUCCAGGAUAGCCAUAAAAAAUAAAUGCAGUUAGUUGCUUAAGUAAUUUUUAAGCAUUUGGUUACAGUAGACCUUGUUUUAGGGAUUAUGUCCACAUUUUUGAAGAUAGAGAUGUGCUGUUAUUGUCUGACUUGUGUAAGCCCAGCAAUGCACAGAGUUGCUUUAAAUUUGGGCUUUCAUCUGAUUGUACCUUAAAAAUAAUUGCAUAUACUAGUUCAUAUUUUUAGUGAAAAUAUAAUCAGUCAAUCUGUUCCUGGAGUACUACAUCUGGAUAUGGAGCCCUGAGUACAGGAGAGACAUGGAUCUGUUAAGUGCAUCCAUAGGAAGGCCACAAGAAUGAUCCAAGGGAUGGAACACCUCUAUGAGGACAGGCUGAAAGAGCUGGGGCUGUUCAGCCUGGAGGAGAGAAGGCUCCAGGAAGACAUGAUAGUGGCCUUCCAUUAUCUAAAGGGGAACUGUGAGAAAGAAGGGGGCAGACUCUGUAGUUGUAUCUGUGGUGACAGGACAGAGAUAAAUGGUUUCAAAAUAAAAAAGGGGAGAUUUGGUUGGGAUGUAAGAAAGAAGAUUUUAGAGUGAUGAGGCAUUAGAACAGGUUGCCCAAAGAGGUGGUGAAUGCUGUGUCCUUGGAGACAUUCAAGGUCAGGCUGGUCCUGGCUCUGAACAAACUGAUCGAGCAGAUAGUGGGUAUGCCUUUCAUUGAAGAGACUAGGUGACCUUUAAGAAUCCCUUUCAACUCAAAUGAUUCUAUGAAUUGAACAGCUAUUCUAUUUGGAUAGAGCUGGUGAGUGCUGUGCAAAUUACAGUGUACGUAUACAUUGAGGCUUAAAGUACAAGUUGAAAUCUGUUGAACCACACAGUGACUCAAAUAUCAGUGGUCAUUUUUAAGUACAGAAGGCCUGUUCUGUCACCAUAGUAAGUUGUUUUUUUCUUUUGAAACCAUAGAAUUAAGUAUGGAUAAGACACCACAGCUACUUCAGUAUCUUCAGUAUCAGGUAUUUUGGAGAUAGAGGUUCAAAAUGGAAACGUUUUUUGAAUGUUGUAAGAUGAAGAGAGAAAGAUACGGAUGUUUUUUAUAUUUGAACAGUAAUAAAUGAAGUGUAAAGUGGUCAUUAAGUGCUUGUUAAGAGUAAUAAGAAUACAGUCCUGCAAUGGAGCUGUAAUAGAAAAAGAAAUGAACAGGAAAACCAUCGCUAUCAUUAGUAAUGUUAUUGGGACUAGGUUUCUGAAGUUGAUUAUCACCAGAAUAUUGCCCAUCCAUUGGCUGUCCAUCCAAGUCUAGGGAGUGACUGCACAUGGGAGAAUGGUGAGCUUGAUUCUGGAUACCAGGAACUGCUACAUAGCACAAGUUAUUUAUGUUCAUAAGAAAAGAAUCCUUAAUGUGAUGAUGGUGGCUGCCUUCACAGCAAAAUUAGGUGCAAUUGGGAAAUCUUACAGAAACAAUAAAUUAAAGAAGUUAUAUAUAUCCUUUGCAACCUGGAGACAGACUAUGAUGUCUGAUGACAAAGCUAAUUUAGUAUGUAUGCACACAUCUUUCUGUAAGUAUAUUUGCUAUGCUGGACUAAGAAAACGGUUGAAAACAGCUACAUUAAAAAAAAAAAA